GAUGAACGCUGGCGGCGUGCCUAAUACAUGCAAGUCGAGCGAACGGACGAGAAGCUUGCUUCUCUGAUGUUAGCGGCGGACGGGUGAGCAACACGUGGAUAACCUACCUAUAAGACUGGGAUAACUUCGGGAAACCGGAGCUAAUACCGGAUAAUAUUUUGAACCGCAUGGUUUAAAAGUGAAAGACGGUCUUGCUGUCACUUAUAGAUGGAUCCGCGCUGCAUUAGCUAGUUGGUAAGGUAACGGCUUACCAAGGCAACGAUGCAUAGCCGACCUGAGAGGGUGAUCGGCCACACUGGAACUGAGACACGGUCCAGACUCCUACGGGAGGCAGCAGUAGGGAAUCUUCCGCAAUGGGCGAAAGCCUGACGGAGCAACGCCGCGUGAGUGAUGAAGGUCUUCGGAUCGUAAAACUCUGUUAUUAGGGAAGAACAUAUGUGUAAGUAACUGUGCACAUCUUGACGGUACCUAAUCAGAAAGCCACGGCUAACUACGUG
Molecule: ribosomal RNA, 497 nt
Filed under: uncultured bacterium
Lineage: Bacteria
Description: partial 16S ribosomal RNA
Rfam family: Bacterial small subunit ribosomal RNA
Source: RNAcentral